UUUAUCAGUAAAUAUAGAACAGUGUUUAAAAGAAUUGCAUAUUAUUUAUAAAUAUUGUCUGGUAUUCUUAAAAUAUCGUUCGUUUUCUCUUUGCUUUAGAAAAUAUGAUAAACAUUGUAAAAUGUAAGCCUAAAUAUGAUAAUCCAACUGAAGAGAUAUCCGCAUUUGAUUUAGUAUGGAUAAACCGGAUUUACUUGUGAAAUGGAGAAGAUGGGUAAACAAUUCAAAAUGGAACCCUUCAAAAAGUCAUUUAACAGUUCACAUAAAAAUACCUAAAAAGAGGAGUUCCAAUACAUUCCUCAUUCCUGUGGGGUUUGCAGCUAGUACAUUCAAUAGAAAAUAUAGCAACAAAUAAGUGAUGGAAGAUUCUGGUUGCAGAUAUACAGAAUGUGAUUAUAAUAUAACUGUUACACUAUCACAAGACAGCAGUGAAGAAACAAGUCCUGAAUACGUGGCUAAGAUUUUUUUAGAAAAUACAAAUGGUUUUUAAUUGGCAACAACCAAAAAAAGACAGAAAAAUGUUUCAUUUGCUGUGUAUUUUCAUGCGGUAUGGUGGAUUGUCCAUUGCUUCAACUUGUCUUCAUCAAUUUAUCUGCAGUUGUUUUGCGGUCUCACCAGUAAUAGAUAAGAUCAUAGAAAGAUAGACAAACAGUAGCAUCACAUAAUUGCCCCCUGUCUUUCUCUCUUUAAUCUGCUGGGUUGAGCGUCGCCAAUUCCCAUAGACAAAAUUAUCAGUGGAUUGUUUAUCUCUUGUUUUUUUGUAGAAUAUUUAGUAGUGCAAUAACUGGUUUUAGCUGUUUUUUUACGCACGAUUAAAUCGCGAACCCAAACU
Non-coding RNA from Ciona intestinalis (vase tunicate), 832 nucleotides. The record is from RefSeq and is a predicted model, not a curated record. NCBI's taxonomy places the organism in Eukaryota, Metazoa, Chordata, Ascidiacea, Phlebobranchia, Cionidae.